RNAcentral lists this ribosomal RNA (253 nucleotides) under uncultured bacterium. RNAcentral describes it as "partial 16S ribosomal RNA". It matches the Rfam family "Bacterial small subunit ribosomal RNA", at positions 524 to 776 of the family's 1533-position model. The record is from RNAcentral.
UACAGAGGGUGCGAGCGUUAAUCGGAAUUACUGGGCGUAAAGCGCACGUAGGUGGAAUGAUAAGUCAGUCGUAAAAUACCUGAGCUUAACUUGGGGAUGUCGAUUGAAACUAUUUUUCUAGAGUAUUGGAGAGGGUAGAGGAAUUUCUGGUGUAGCGGUGAAAUGCGUAGAUAUCAGAAGGAACAUCAGUGGCGAAGGCGUCUACCUGGCCAAAUACUGACACUGAGGAGCGAAAGCGUGGGUAGCAAACAGG